AAUGGAUCCAGUCCUAUUUGCUUGGUCCUGUACCCAGCGUAAUACCUUCUAGCCUUUCCAUUACGGUCAAAGCAAUUAUCAGCAAGCCUGGUCACAGGUAACGUCUUUCACAUCAGCUCACCACAGCAUACCAAGCGUCUUUUGGGGGGAGUAAGAUGGUCCUGACACCGUGAGAGUCUUUUUAAAGCCGUCCUCUCUCUCAAGGAGGCGGGGCACUGCAAAGGAUGCUGCAGGGACAUCCACGCGGAGGAUGUGCAAGGAGGGAUGAGCCAGCCGGCCCUGCGCCAGCACCACUGGUGGUCCCAGGAGGCUGGGAGCUCGCUAAGGCCAUCGGAGCGUCUUCUCGAGGCUUUCUGUGUGGAUGAAGUGCCCAGGGAGUGGCCACACUGGGGCCUGAGGCGAAAGUAAGAAUAGAUGCUGGCACAUACUUAGUGAAACUUCCUGCCAUGUUCUGAAUCAUGCAGAAAAAGUAAAUAGAAGCUUGCCAUAAAAAAACCGUGACCGCAUAGAGUCCCCAUUGCCCCAUCUGUUUGCACCUCACUGCCAACCCUCUGGGAGCUGACCGAGGGGCACGCAGGCCAUGGUAGAGGGGGAUGGGGGCAUGGGAACGGAGGCAGCUCAGAAAUCACGCUCUUUCAGAAACCAUAGACGCUAGCAAACCAACUGUCUGUCUUUAUUUACAGUUUUUGAUAUUUUGUUCAGUAUAGAUUUUGCCAUUAACUUUUAUUUUUCUGUUUAUUUAUUUUUUUUGUCUUUUUGCCAUUUCUUGGGCUGUUCCUGCAGCAUAUGGAGGUUCCCAGGCUAGGGGUUGAAUCGGAGCUGUAGCCCCCACCGGCCUAUGCCAGAGUCAUAGCAACGGGGGACCCGAGCCCUGUGGUGUAGGUCACAGAAAUGGCUCAGAUCCUGUGUUGCUGUGGCUGUGUUGUAGGCCAGCAGCUGCAGCUUUGAUUCGACCCCUAGCCUCGGAAUUUCCAUAUGCGGCAGGUGCGGCCCUAAAAAGAAAAAAAAAAAAAAUUACCUUGAUGACCAAAUUUGGGCUCCUCCUUACAUGGUCCCUCGCUUGCCUCACCCCCAUCCUGGCCCCGAGUUGAAAGGGCCUCAGUGCUGACUCAGUGGCACCAAUGACAGCCCGGGCCUUCCUAGAGGAGUUCAGGAUUCUGGGUCUUUCUAGGACUUCCCAACUUCUUCUGCGUUUGGGGAAAAUCCCACCAUAUUUUUCCUCUCUCAGAAGCACAAGCAGGGCAUUCAGCUGCAUGUUUAGGGAGGGGUUUCAAUUCCCUUUGAUAGAGGUGGGGUGUUAUGAGUAGUAAACAUAAUUCUCCAGGUAAAACUGAGUCCCCUGAACGUGUGCAGUGUUGAAGAGGAACUGGGGAUUUGGAUUGAGUUUGGGGUUUUCAUUUGGCUCGUCUACUUCCUAGCUUUAGUCUUUGGGGCUCUGUUUUCUCAUCAGUAAAUGAAAAUAAUGCCCAUGGAUGGGGUGGUGGGGAGAUUCAGUCAAGCAGCCUGGGCAAAGAAUCUGGCACACACCACGCUCGGCAGAUUUCUAGUUUCCCUCUUCAUCCCAAAGAGAGACCCAUGUCCGCAAAUGAAUUCUUCGUUUGUUUGUUUGUUUUGUUUUUUCAUGGCUGCACCUGUGGCACAUGGAAGCUCCCGCUGCCCCAGCAAAUGGUUAUUCGGUCUUGUAUUUAUUCAGCCACACAGUCAGGGGAUUCUGGUGGCAGACAUUCACUGGGAUUUCAUGCUCGGGCGGGACUUCUGCGCAGCGCCUCACCCUGGCAGUGCCCACGAGAACACGGCGCUCCCUAGGGAUGCAGGCCAGUGUCUGUUCUUUUCCAGGUAGCAUCUUCCUCUAGUCUCCUUUCCUGUUCAAGCUCCUUCAGGAGACCCGUGCUUGUCACAGAGCUUUUUCCAGGCUCCGUGAUGGCUUGUAGGGGGGCCCAGUGCCCUGGGGGGAGGGGCAUACAUGUGAGAGAGGACCUGUCGCCCUGUCGGCUGGUCCUUGGUGUGCCCAGGUCGCUCUGUGUUCCUGGCAGUCCGGGGAAAGCUGUGUUAAGGUUUGGGGCCGUGGGUCUUGCUGCUUACUUUAAAACUGAAUCCCGUGCUGUUGGAUUCCGCUUGGGGGCAGACCACACAGGCUGGAGGUCCCAAGCCCCAUGUGCCAUCCCCUCUACCUCUGCCACCUUCCAACUAGGAGAGGCCCCCUGGCCCAGUGCCAACCAAAGGGACAAAGGAAGCAGCAUUUGCUUAGGGUUCCUGAAAACUUCUGCUGCAGGGUGACUUCAUUUUUCUUUCCGAUGGAACAAACACAGAUGUGACGGGUGGGGCCGUUCUCACCAGAUGGAGACCAUGACGGGGGCCACUCAACAGAAAAGUGAGCCCCUUAUUUGUUUAAGCCGCUGUGGUUAGGAUUUCUGUCACUUUCAGCCCAAAUCCUCUCUUUCUGGUACACCCCCGACUCCUGCGAUCCAGGGGGUACCCAGGAACGUCUGCAGGACUCAUAAGGGAUCAGAUCAGUCUAGGGCACAGCUGGUCACCCCUGUGACUGGAUGAAGCCGUGUUCCUGGCCUUCUCUAGCCUUUGAUGAGCCACCCUGGAGGUCCUCUGGAGUCCUGGACGGUCCACCUCACCUUUCAGCCAGACCUGCCCAGCCCUUUGCCUGGGCUCCGACUGGACCCCCUGCUCCUGGAAGUACACUGGGACCUCUCGUUUGGGCAAAGACACAGUUCCCAGAGAGUAACUACUUGAGAAGGAGGCGAGGUCAGCUUGGUGGACACCGCAGUUAAAGGCCAAAACAUGGCCUUGUUUCAAGAAAUUCUUAACCACCUAUCACAAUCCAUUUCAAGUUUGUUGAUGAGAGGAUGAAUGGUAACUUUGGUAAAACUGGCGGGAAAAGGCGUCGCUGAGACAGAAGUCAUGCACCGUAGUUUUUGAGGAAGGUGCCUUCCUGAUGGAUUAAGGGCAUCAGAGGGAAGGGAUGUCUCAUCCUGCCUACAUUUCCCCCAGGGAGGCAGGGCAGGGGUCCUGGGUCUGCUCCUUCCGAGCCCUUUCCUCUUUGAUUCCAUGGCAGCACUGGACACCAGGGGCUCUCUGGCCUUCCUUGUCCCUCUUUCCAGCUGGGUCCUGCCCUUCACCACCUGUUGGCUACCACACCGAUCACUGAAGCUGCCACCAGAUGCGUACAGAGCUGUCAUGGGCUUGGUUCCCCAGACAGCCCUGUACGUUUAAACCCAAAGGCCGGAGUAGAAUUCAGGUGCUGAACAGACUUGGAUGGGCUGGGGCGCUGAUGAGCGCUGGCGGGUGAUGGAAGAGUGACAUUUUUAUCAGACAGUAAAAUGCAUAACCCUCUUCCAAAGUUCUGGUUAUAUAUAAGGGUGACAUAUGUUUAUCUGGAAUAGCUCCUGAUGAAUCUGCUUUUUAAAAAGCUCCAGACAAAAACAGUCUUCUGUAGGUUGUGACAACUGUGGGGAUGCUAAUUUUGUAGUGAGAGCCAUAAAUUGAUUGACAGGAGGCAAAGCAACCAUGAGGUAGAAGAUGAUUGGCUCAAAGACUGAUGUUGGCCACCAAUAAGAGAAGACGUGGAUGGCCAAGGUGCUGAGGGUGUUCCAAGCAGAUACAAGGAAAACAAGCUUGGGGAAGGAUUCCAACCUGAGGUCCUGUGGCUUCAUCAAGGGCUCUGAUGGGGCUUUGGGUGAGCAGAGGCUCAGGGAGCUGACCCAGCUGCACUGUCUAGGGGAGAGCCUUGUUGAAGGGAUGCUGGGGAAGGAGGUGUUUCCUGAGUGGAGGCAGCGACACCUAUAUGUCUCAGGCACAAAGAACCAUGAUGCUGUGGCCUCUGGGGAGCGCAAACAAAACAGAACAGAACAAAACAAAACCCAAAACCCCCAAACAAAAAAACCAAAUCAACAACUAGGAGAAGGGCAGAACAAGAAGAGCUCAAUCUACAGAUUUUUCUUUUCUUUUUGGCUUUUUAGAGCCACAUCUGUGGCAUAUGGAAGUUCCUAGGCUAGAGGAUGAAUUGGAGCUGCAGCUGCCAGCCUACACCACAGCACCAGCAAUGCCAGAUCCGAGUCACAUCUGCAACCUACACCACUCAUAGCUCACAGCAAUGCCAGAUCCUUAACCCACUGAGCGCGGCCAGGGAUCGAACCCCUGUCCUCAUGGAUACUAGUUGGGUUCAUUACUGCUGAGCCACCGUGGGAACUCUUGGAUUGUUUUAUUUCAUCUUUAUCCCUGGAGUUUGCCUGCCUUUCAGUAAUUGGCUACUUAAACUCAACAUGGAGACUCAACUGACUGCACCAUUGGGGGUGGGGUCUUUUCUUUCUGCUUGUCUCCAGGUGAAGCCUGAUGCUUCGCACUUGCUGGCCACCAGGGAGUGUUUGCUGCUUGAGUGGAAAAAUUCACCCUGGUGGACUGGAAUAAGAGGGUUGGGGUCCAAGAGGGGAGAAGCCCUUCUUCCCCUCUUGGGGGUGCUGGAGGCGCUGGCUUCUGGUUUGAGAAGUUUCUGCCUGCCCCAGCCCCACCACCCAUAGACUCAACCUUCUUGUGUCAAACUGGUGGGAGUCAAGACAUUUCUCUUUCUGGGCCAAACACAUGCCUCUGGGGCAGCUGCCCUAAUCAAUGAUUACAGCAAUGAAGACACCGGGAAACAUUUUCUUCGUGUCCUUCAUGAACUGUCUUGCUUAGGAAGAUUUGGACAGCAUUCCAAGUGUGGUCCUGAAUAGACUUGAAUUUUUAUGUGAUCUGCUUUUUUUUUUUAACCACACCUUAAAAAAAAUUUUUUUUGGCCACGCCUGCUGUUCUGGGGCCAGGGAUCAAACCCGAGCCGUGCCGCAGCAGUGACCUGAGUUGCAGCAGUGACAACACCAGGUCCUUAACCCACUAAACCACCAGGAACUCCUGCUUGGUCUCCUUUUUAAAAUGGGCCUCAUUUGUAAACUCAAAUGGACAGUUCCCCACCUGCAGCCCCCACGGUGUAAGCCUCCAUCACAGCGUCAAUACACAGGAUUCACUUAACUGUCCUUUUUACUUGGUGCCCCCACCCUCACCCCCCUAAGAUGGGGACAUCUUUUUGAUGCCCACAGAGCACCUGGAGCAGUCAACACUUAGGCAUUUUGCUGAAAAUGACUCCAAUGCUAAAGAUUCCAUCAAAGUAUAUCUUUUCAUAUCUGGUGUGAAGAUGCUUCAGUUGCUCAGCUAUUCCAAACAAAUUCACCUUGGGAGUUCCCGUUGUGGCUCUGUGGUAACGAACCUGACCAGGAUCCAUGAGGAUGCAGGUUCACUCCUUGGCCUUGCUCAGUGGGUUAAGGAUCCGGUGUUGCCGUGAGCUGUGGUGUAUGUCGCAGACGCAGCUUGGAUCCUGCGUUCCUGUGGCUGUGGUGUAGGGUGGCAGCUGUAGCUCCGAUUCAACCCCUGGCCCGGGAACAUCCGUAUGCCUCAGGUGCAUCCCUAAAAAGACAAAAAAAAAAAAGGACAAAAAAAUUCACCUUUUGUAGCCAAUAAAAAAAGCUGCUAUCAAAAAAAAAAAAAAAAAAAAAAAAAAA
Molecule: long non-coding RNA, 5540 nt
Filed under: Sus scrofa (pig)
Lineage: Eukaryota; Metazoa; Chordata; Mammalia; Artiodactyla; Suidae
Description: lncRNA (ENSSSCG00065049945.1)
Source: RNAcentral